AAACCGGAGGAAGGUGGGGACGACGUCAAGUCAUCAUGGCCCUUAUGUCCAGGGCUACACACGUGUUACAAUGGCCGGUACAAAGGGCAGCUACUUCGCGAGAAGAUGCUAAUCUCGAAAGCCGGUCUCAGUUCGGAUCGAAGUCUGCAACCCGACUUCGUGAAGCUGGAUUCGCUAGUAAUCGCGCAUCAGCCAUGGCGCGGUGAAUACGUUCCCGGGCCUU
This 223-nucleotide ribosomal RNA is filed under the name uncultured Sphingobacteriales bacterium. Its description in RNAcentral is "partial 16S ribosomal RNA". It matches the Rfam family "Bacterial small subunit ribosomal RNA", at positions 1160 to 1382 of the family's 1533-position model. Lineage: Bacteria; Pseudomonadati; Bacteroidota; Sphingobacteriia; Sphingobacteriales. The record is from RNAcentral.